Lycium ferocissimum is the source of this 1117-nucleotide RNA transcript. RefSeq lists it as uncharacterized. Lineage: Eukaryota; Viridiplantae; Streptophyta; Magnoliopsida; Solanales; Solanaceae. The transcript is spliced from 3 exons. The record is from RefSeq and is a predicted model, not a curated record.
AAAAAUGAAGCCCCCAAAAUUUUGGGGCCUAAAGCUCCCGCUUUAGUGGCUUGCCCCUCUGGCCGGCCCUGGAUUGCAUAUGUGAGGCACUUGAAAUAUGUAUGGCGAAAGAUCAGGGAAGACCAAGGUUUGAUGGUAAACGUUAACCUUGGCCUUUGCCAAAGGAAAAACACCAGUGUUAAUUACUAUCAUACAAAAACAAAUUUUUGUAGCUGAUAGUGUUCAUAUUGGUCAAGCACUAUCGGUGCAAUUGGCACUUCGGAGGAUUGCAAUAGACUUCGAACAUACGGUUUCUGUCAUAUGGGGAUAUGCACAGUCUGAUUUAGAGUCUGCUGCCAUACUAUGGAUUGUUCCCUUUCGUAGUUCUAUGGACAAUUGGCUCGUCAUUGGGAGAAGGAUGUUUUAGGUGUGUCAGUGGAGUUGAAACGGAUAUUGAAAGCUGCGGUACUUUCAACACUUCUUGUGCAACUUACAAGCUACUGGGAGAGUCUAGAGAGAAUCCGCUGAUGUGUUCUUUUGAUGGUGUUACUACUCUUAUUGUGGAGCAGUGCAUAAUAUCUUUAUCGGGGAAAUUGAAAGAUUAUGAUGCUGUUCAAGUCACGUUUUUCAUUGCAUAACUUGUUGAAGAUCCAUACCAAAGAGCAUAUUGGUCGUACUCUGUGGCUUGAUAUUCAUACUCUAUUUCAUAUCUUGAGUCGAACCUCGAGGACAAGGUUCUCAUUGAGGGCAAGGGAAUUGUGAACCAAGUGGACCCCAUAAGGGGCUUAUGAACUAGAAGUGGUGAAUGAGACUAGUUCAGCUGUUAUUAUUGUGCUGAGUAAAAUGGUAGAGAGAUUUAUUUGGGAACCAGACUCAAUUAUCAAGUGGUCAAAAAGGACCGUGGAUUUGGAAGAAGAGUUCUAUGCGUAUUGUUGAAGACUCUCUUCCCCGUUCUCUAAGUCUAGCUAGUUCCUCAUCUCCCUCUUCAGUCUACCUCUAGUUCGUACUUUCCAUAAUUAUGCAUUCCUGGAACUGUAAUUGAACUUUUAUCUCAUUUAUAUAAUUGAGAAGAUGGUUAUUGUGACUUUGAAUUUGAGUUUCUUACUAAUAAUAAAUUACUACAUGGGAGGUUGAAGCA